Molecule: ribosomal RNA, 1379 nt
Filed under: uncultured bacterium
Lineage: Bacteria
Description: bacterial SSU rRNA
Rfam family: Bacterial small subunit ribosomal RNA
Source: RNAcentral
GACGAACGCUGGCGGCGUGCCUAAUACAUGCAAGUCGAGCGGACCGAACGAGAGCUUGCUCUUGUUUGGUCAGCGGCGGACGGGUGAGUAACACGUGGGCAACCUGCCCGCAAGACCGGGAUAACUCCGGGAAACCGGAGCUAAUACCGGAUAACACCAAAGACCGCAUGGUCUUUGGUUGAAAGGCGGCUUCGGCUGCCACUUGCGGAUGGGCCCGCGGCGCAUUAGCUAGUUGGUGAGGUAACGGCUCACCAAGGCGACGAUGCGUAGCCGGCCUGAGAGGGUGACCGGCCACACUGGGACUGAGACACGGCCCAGACUCCUACGGGAGGCAGCAGUAGGGAAUCUUCCGCAAUGGACGAAAGUCUGACGGAGCGACGCCGCGUGAGCGAAGAAGGCCUUCGGGUCGUAAAGCUCUGUUGUGAGGGACGAAGGAGCGCCGUUUGAAUAAGGCGGCGCGGUGACGGUACCUCACGAGAAAGCCCCGGCUAACUACGUGCCAGCAGCCGCGGUAAUACGUAGGGGGCGAGCGUUGUCCGGAAUUAUUGGGCGUUAAGCGCGCGCAGGCGGUCCUUUAAGUCUGAUGUGAAAGCCCACGGGCUCAACCCUGGAAGGGUUCAUUGGAAACUGGGGGACUUGAUUGCAGGAGAGGAGAGCGGAAUUCCACGUGUAGCGGUGAAAUGCGUAGAGAUGUGGAGGAACACCAGUGGCGAAGGCGGCUCUCUGGCCUGUAACUGACGCUGAGGCGCGAAAGCGUGGGGAGCAAACAGGAUUAGAUACCCUGGUAGUCCACGCCGUAAACGAUGAGUGCUAAGUGUUAGAGGGGUCACACCCUUUAGUGCUGUAGCUAAUGCGAUAAGCACUCCGCCUGGGGAAUACGGCCGCAGGGCUGAAACUCAAAGGAAUUGACGGGGGCCCGCACAAGUGGUGGAGCAUGUGGUUUAAUUCGAAGCAACGCGAAGAACCUUACCAGGUCUUGACAUCCCCUGACAACCCAAGAGAUUGGGCGUUCCCCCUUCGGGGGGACAGGGUGACAGGUGGUGCAUGGUUGUCGUCAGCUCGUGUCGUGAGAUGUUGGGUUAAGUCCCGCAACGAGCGCAACCCUUGCCUCUAGUUGCCAGCAUUCAGUUGGGCACUCUAGAGGGACUGCCGGCUAAAAGUCGGAGGAAGGUGGGGAUGACGUCAAAUCAUCAUGCCCCUUAUGACCUGGGCUACACACGUGCUACAAUGGGCGGUACAAAGGGCUGCGAACCCGCGAGGGGGAGCGAAUCCCAAAAAGCCGCUCUCAGUUCGGAUUGCAGGCUGCAACUCGCCUGCAUGAAGCCGGAAUCGCUAGUAAUCGCGGAUCAGCAUGCCGCGGUGAAUAAAAUCCCGGGCCU